This 408-nucleotide ribosomal RNA is filed under the name uncultured bacterium. RNAcentral's name for it is "bacterial SSU rRNA". It matches the Rfam family "Bacterial small subunit ribosomal RNA", at positions 355 to 775 of the family's 1533-position model. The record is from RNAcentral.
UCGAGGAUCUUCGGCAAUGGGCGCAAGCCUGACCGAGCGACGCCGCGUGCGCGAUGAAGGCCUUCGGGUUGUAAAGCGCUGUCGAGGGGAAGGAAGGGCAACUUGACCGACCCCUGGAGGAAGCACGGGCUAAGUUCGUGCCAGCAGCCGCGGUAAGACGAACCGUGCGAACGUUGUUCGGAUUCACUGGGCUUAAAGGGCGCGUAGGCGGGCAAGCAAGUCGGGGGUGAAAUCCUUCAGCUCAACUGGAGAACGGCCUCCGAUACUGCAUGUCUUGAGGGAGGUAGGGGCAGGUGGAACUUCCGGUGGAGCGGUGAAAUGCGUAGAUAUCGGAAGGAACGCCGGUGGCGAAAGCGACCUGCUGGAUCUCUUCUGACGCUGAGGCGCGAAAGCCAGGGGAGCAAACGG